Molecule: ribosomal RNA, 440 nt
Filed under: uncultured bacterium
Lineage: Bacteria
Description: partial 16S ribosomal RNA
Rfam family: Bacterial small subunit ribosomal RNA
Source: RNAcentral
CCUACGGGUGGCAGCAGUGGGGAAUAUUGCACAAUGGGGGAAACCCUGAUGCAGCAACGCCGCGUGAGUGAUGACGGCUUUCGGUAUGUAAAGCUCUGUCUUCAGGGACGAUAAUGACGGUACCUGAGGAGGAAGCCACGGCUAACUACGUGCCAGCAGCCGCGGUAAUACGUAGGUGGCGAGCGUUGUCCGGAUUUACUGGGUGUAAAGGGAGCGUAGACGGAAGUAUAAGUCUGAAGUGAAAUGCCCGGGCUUAACUCGAGUGCUGCAUUUGAAACUGGGAGGCUAGAGUGCAGGAGAGGUGAGUGGAAUUCCUAGUGUAGCGGUGAAAUGCGUAGAUAUUAGGAGGAACACCAGUGGCGAAGGCGAUUCACUGGACUGUAACUGACGCUGAGGCUCGAAAGCGUGGGGAGCAAACAGGAUUAGAUACCCCAGUAGUC